Caenorhabditis elegans is the source of this 100-nucleotide transfer RNA. NCBI's taxonomy places the organism in Eukaryota, Metazoa, Nematoda, Chromadorea, Rhabditida, Rhabditidae. The record is from Ensembl.
GCUGUUUUGCAUGGCCGAGUGGUCUAAUUAGAGCCUUAAGGCGCUGCGUUCAGGUCGCAGUCCUCUCAGGAGGGCGCAGGUUCAAAUCCUGCGGACAGCA